Molecule: ribosomal RNA, 544 nt
Filed under: Debaryomyces sp. GY17S03
Lineage: Eukaryota; Fungi; Ascomycota; Pichiomycetes; Serinales; Debaryomycetaceae
Description: eukaryotic LSU rRNA
Rfam family: Eukaryotic large subunit ribosomal RNA
Source: RNAcentral
GCGAGUGAGCGGCAAAAGCUCAAAUUUGAAAUCUGGCACCUUCGGUGUCCGAGUUGUAAUUUGAAGAAGGUAACUUUGGAGUUGGCUCUUGUCUAUGUUCCUUGGAACAGGACGUCACAGAGGGUGAGAAUCCCGUGCGAUGAGAUGCCCAAUUCUAUGUAAAGUGCUUUCGAAGAGUCGAGUUGUUUGGGAAUGCAGCUCUAAGUGGGUGGUAAAUUCCAUCUAAAGCUAAAUAUUGGCGAGAGACCGAUAGCGAACAAGUACAGUGAUGGAAAGAUGAAAAGAACUUUGAAAAGAGAGUGAAAAAGUACGUGAAAUUGUUGAAAGGGAAGGGCUUGAGAUCAGACUUGGUAUUUUGCGAUCCUUUCCUUCUUGGUUGGGUUCCUCGCAGCUUACUGGGCCAGCAUCGGUUUGGAUGGUAGGAUAAUGACUAAGGAAUGUGGCUCUACUUCGGUGGAGUGUUAUAGCCUUGGUUGAUACUGCCUGUCUAGACCGAGGACUGCGUCUUUGACUAGGAUGUUGGCAUAAUGAUCUUAAGCCACCC